AACGAACGUUGGCGGCGUGGAUUAGGCAUGCAAGUCGAACGAAUCCCCGCGGGCUUGCCCGCGGGGGGAAGUGGCGAAAGGGGCAGUAAGGCGUGGGUAACCUACCCCGGGGACCGGGAUAGCCGCCCUAACGGGCGGGUAAUACCGGGCGACGUAGCGGAGGGGCAUCUCUCUGCUACCAAAUGAAUUUCGCCCCGGGAGGGGCUCACGUGGUAUUAGCUAGUUGGUGGGGUAACGGCCCACCAAGGCGAAGAUGCCUAGCGGGUGUGAGAGCACGACCCGCGCCACUGGCACUGCGACACUGGCCAGACUCCUACGGGAGGCUGCAGUCGAGGAUCUUCCGCAAUGGGCGCAAGCCUGACGGAGCGACGCCGCGUGGGCGAUGAAGGCCUUCGGGUUGUAAAGCCCUUUUGUACGGGAGGAAGGCGCAAGCUUGACUGUACCGUACGAAUAAGCUCGGGCUAAGUUCGUGCCAGCCGCCGCGGUAACAC
This 491-nucleotide ribosomal RNA is filed under the name uncultured bacterium. RNAcentral describes it as "bacterial SSU rRNA". It matches the Rfam family "Bacterial small subunit ribosomal RNA", at positions 28 to 526 of the family's 1533-position model. The record is from RNAcentral.